UGGGACUGAGACACUGCCCAGACUCCUACGGGAGGCUGCAGUCGAGAAUCAUUCGCAAUGCGCGAAAGCGUGACGAUGCGACGCUGCGUGGAGGAUGAAGGCCUUAGGGUCGUAAACUCCUGUCAUUUGGGAAAAAUAGUACUUUAGUUAAUAACUAUAGUAUUUGAUGGUACCAAAAGAGGAAGCCACGGCUAACUCUGUGCCAGCAGCCGCGGUAAUACAGAGGUGGCGAGCGUUGUUCGGAUUUACUGGGCGUAAAGGGUGCGUAGGUGGUCAUGUGUGUCGGGUGUGAAAGCCCACGGCUCAACCGUGGAAUUGCAUUCGAAACUGCAUGACUUGAGUGUAGGAGGGGUAAGCGGAAUUCUUGGUGUAGCGGUGAAAUGCGUUGAUAUCAAGAAGAACACCGGCGGCGAAGGCGGCUUACUGGAAUACUACUGACACUGAGGCACGAAAGCUAGGGGAGCGAAGAGGAUUAGAUACCCUCGUAGUCCUAGCCGUAAACGGUGCACACUUGGUGUGGAGGGAAUUGACCCCCUCCGUGCCGGAGCUAACGCGUUAAGUGUGCCGCCUGGGGAGUACGGCCGCAAGGCUAAAACUCAAAGAAAUUGACGGGGGCCCGCACAAGCGGAGGAGCAUGUGGCUUAAUUCGAUGCAACGCGAAGAACCUUACCAGGGCUUGACAUAUACCUGCACGCCCCGUGAAAGCGGGGAAGCCUUCGAGGGUGGUAUACAGGUGCUGCAUGGCUGUCGUCAGUUCGUGCCGUGAGGUGUUGGGUUAAGUCCCGCAACGAACGCAACCCUUGUGUUUAGUUGCCACUCCCAGUGUUAAGCUGGGAAGCACUCUAGACAGACUGCCCGUGCAAGCGGGAGGAAGGUGGGGAUGACGUCAAGUCAGUAUGGCCCUACGCCCUGGGCUGCACACGUGCUACAAUGACAGGUACAAUAGGAAGCAAAACCGCGAGGUGGAGCCAAUCCUCAAAACCUGCCUCAGUUCGGAUUGGAGUCUGCAACUCGACUCCAUGAAGUUGGAUUCGCUAGUAACGGUGUAUCAGCUACGACACCGUGAAUACGUUCCCGGGCCUUGUACACACCGCCCGUCACAUCAUGAAAGCCGUCUGCACCCGAAGUCGCUGAGCCAAUCUUUUACGAGAAGGCAGGUGCCGAAGGUGUGGGUGGUGAUUGGGAUGAAGUCGGAACAAGGUA
This 1203-nucleotide ribosomal RNA is filed under the name metagenome. Its description in RNAcentral is "bacterial SSU rRNA". It matches the Rfam family "Bacterial small subunit ribosomal RNA", at positions 314 to 1498 of the family's 1533-position model. The record is from RNAcentral.